GACGGGGGGGGCAAGUGUUCUUCGGAAUUACUGGGCGUAAAGCGUGCGCAGGCGGUUCGUUAUGUCCGUUGUGAAAGCCCCGGGCUCAACCUGGGAAUGGCAAUGGAAACUGGAAGGCUAGAGUGUCGGAGAGGAUAGUGGAAUUCCCGGUGUAGAGGUGAAAUUCGUAGAGAUCGGGAGGAACACCAGUGGCGAAGGCGACUAUCUGGCUGACAACUGACGCUGAGACUCGAAAGCAUGGGGAGCAAACAGG
RNAcentral lists this ribosomal RNA (253 nucleotides) under uncultured bacterium. RNAcentral's name for it is "partial 16S ribosomal RNA". It matches the Rfam family "Bacterial small subunit ribosomal RNA", at positions 524 to 776 of the family's 1533-position model. The record is from RNAcentral.